RNAcentral lists this ribosomal RNA (428 nucleotides) under uncultured bacterium. RNAcentral's name for it is "partial 16S ribosomal RNA". It matches the Rfam family "Bacterial small subunit ribosomal RNA", at positions 354 to 796 of the family's 1533-position model. The record is from RNAcentral.
GUGGGGAAUAUUGGGCAAUGGGCGCAAGCCUGACCCAGCAACGCCGCGUGAAGGAAGAAGGCUUUCGGGUUGUAAACUUCUUUUACCAGGGACGAAACAAAUGACGGUACCUGGUGAAUAAGCCACGGCUAACUACGUGCCAGCAGCCGCGGUAAUACGUAGGUGGCGAGCGUUAUCCGGAUUUAUUGGGUGUAAAGGGCGUGUAGGCGGGACAGCAAGUCAGAUGUGAAAACCAGAGGCUCAACCUCUGGCCUGCAUUUGAAACUGUUGUUCUUGAGUGUCGGAGAGGUAAUCGGAAUUCCAAGUGUAGCGGUGAAAUGCGUAGAGAUUUGGAAGAACACCAGUGGCGAAGGCGGCUGCCUGGACCGAUAUUGACGCUGAGACGCGAAAGCGUGGGGAGCAAACAGGAUUAGAUACCCCUGUAGUCC